AACGUAGGAGACAAACGUUAUCCGGAGUGACUGGGCGUAAAGGGCGUGUAGGCGGUUAGUUAAGUCUGGCGUGAAAGCUCUCGGCUAAACCGGGAGAGGUCGUUGGAUACUGGCUGACUAGAGGACGGUAGAGGCGUGUGGAAUUCCGGGUGUAGUGGUGAAAUGCGUAGAGAUCCGGAGGAACACCAGUGGCGAAGGCGACACGCUGGGCCGUACCUGACGCUAAAGCGCGACAGCAUGGGGAGCAAACGGG
This 253-nucleotide ribosomal RNA is filed under the name uncultured bacterium. RNAcentral describes it as "partial 16S ribosomal RNA". It matches the Rfam family "Bacterial small subunit ribosomal RNA", at positions 524 to 776 of the family's 1533-position model. The record is from RNAcentral.